CCAGUGCGUCCUUUCUCCCGGCCCCCCUGCUGCUGGUGGAUGGUAGCAAGUGGAUUUCCGAAGCCCGUGCCUGUGUCAGCCUCAGCUCGCCCCCGGGGGCCCGCGCUUGCCUAGGCUGCCUCUCGCGCCUGCGGGAUGUAGAGCACCGCGCACCGGCCCGGGCCUCCUGGCCUGGGCUGCCAAGGUCCUGCAGGCCACGACGGCCGCCUGCGCAGUGAGACGGGCGGGAACCCGCGAGGCGGUGUCCUCUUCCCGUCUCUGCUGGAGCCUCGGUGCGUUGGCGUCUGAUCCACGGAUGAGGCGAGCCGGCGGCCAGGGUCACGAAACGAGUUGGCUGUGCCAGAUGAAGAUUCCGUGAAGAUUAUGGCGAGUGAAGACUGUGGGGGUCAUGACAGCGAUGAAAUGUGACAACUUCAGGACUUGGUCUUUGUAACCAGUUAAGUUGUCUUCAUGUGUGAUAACUGGCUACAGAGUUGGAAAAACACCGUGGGAAGGAAGAGGCAGGCAAAAAGGUGACCAGUAGCUGAUACACAUGUUAUUAUUGGUAAACAAUAAAGGACUUUGGAAGUGUUUGUCCCUCAGA
This is a long non-coding RNA of Sciurus carolinensis (gray squirrel), 583 nucleotides long. RefSeq lists it as uncharacterized. Lineage: Eukaryota; Metazoa; Chordata; Mammalia; Rodentia; Sciuridae. The record is from RefSeq and is a predicted model, not a curated record. The transcript has 4 exons.